AAUUUUGGACAAUGGGGGAAACCCUGAUCCAGCCAUCCCGCGUGUAUGAUGAAGGCCUUCGGGUUGUAAAGCACUUUAAGUUGGGAGGAAGGGUUGUAGAUUAUUACUCUGCAAUUUUGACGUUACCAACAGAAUAAGCACCGGAUAACUUCGUGCCAGCAGCCGCGGUAAUACGAAGGGUGCAAGCGUUAAUCGGAAUUACUGGUCGUAAAGCGCGCGUAGGUGGUUCAGUAAGAUGGGUGUGAAAUCCCCGGGCUUAACCUGGGAACUGCUUUCAUAACUGCUGUGCUAGAGUACGGUAGAGGGUAGUGGAAUUUCCUGUGUAGCGGUGAAAUGCGUAGAUAUAGGAAGGAACACCAGUGGCGAAGGCGACUACCUGGACUGAUACUGACACUGAGGUGCGAAAGCGUGGGGAGCAAAC
This 421-nucleotide ribosomal RNA is filed under the name uncultured bacterium. RNAcentral describes it as "partial 16S ribosomal RNA". It matches the Rfam family "Bacterial small subunit ribosomal RNA", at positions 360 to 773 of the family's 1533-position model. The record is from RNAcentral.